This 462-nucleotide ribosomal RNA is filed under the name uncultured bacterium. RNAcentral's name for it is "partial 16S ribosomal RNA". It matches the Rfam family "Bacterial small subunit ribosomal RNA", at positions 339 to 795 of the family's 1533-position model. The record is from RNAcentral.
CUACGGGAGGCUCCAGUGGGGAAUAUUGCACAAUGAGCGAAAGCUUGAUGCAGCCAUACCGCGUGUGAAGAAGGCCCGAGGGUUGUAAAGCACUUUCAAUUGGGAGGAAGGUUAAGUAGUUAAUACCUGCUUAAUUUGACGUUACCUUUAGAAGAAGCACCGGCUAACUCUGUGCCAGCAGCCGCGGUAAUACAGAGGGUGCAAGCGUUAUUCGGAAUUACUGGGCGUAAAGCGCGCGUAGGCGGAUUAUUAAGUCAGUUGUGAAAGCCCUGGGCUCAACCUGGGAACUGCAUCUGAUACUGGUAGUCUAGAGUUUAAGAGAGGGAAGUGGAAUUCCAGGUGUAGCAGUGAAAUGCGUAGAUAUCUGGAGGAACAUCAGUGGCGAAGGCGACUUCCUGGCUUAAAACUGACGCUGAGGUGCGAAAGCGUGGGUAGCGAACGGGAUUAGAUACCCCCGUAGUC